CUACCCUUGACAUGGCAGGAAUCCCGAAGAGAUUUGGGAGUGCUCGAAAGAGAACCUGCACACAGGUGCUGCAUGGCUGCCGUCAGCUCGUGUCGUGAGAUGUUGGGUUAAGUCCCGCAACGAGCGCAACCCUUGUCCUUAGUUGCUACGCAAGAGCACUCUAAGGAGACUGCCGGUGACAAACCGGAGGAAGGUGGGGAUGACGUCAAGUCCUCAUGGCCCUUAUGGGUAGGGCUUCACACGUGCUACAAUGGUCGGUACAAAGGGUUGCCAAGCCGCGAGGUGGAGCUAAUCCCAUAAAACCGAUCGUAGUCCGGAUCGCAGUCUGCAACUCGACUGCGUGAAGUCGGAAUCGCUAGUAAUCGCCGGUCAGCCAUACGGCGGUGAACCCGUUCCC
This 397-nucleotide ribosomal RNA is filed under the name uncultured bacterium. Its description in RNAcentral is "bacterial SSU rRNA". It matches the Rfam family "Bacterial small subunit ribosomal RNA", at positions 975 to 1375 of the family's 1533-position model. The record is from RNAcentral.